CGUAGGGCGCGAGCGUUGUCCGGAUUUAUUGGGCGUAAAGAGCUCGUAGGCGGCUUGUCGCGUCGUCCGUGAAAACCCGCGGCUUAACUGCGGGCUUGCGGUUGAUACGGGCGGGCUAGAGUUCGGUAGGGGAGACUGGAAUUUCUGGUGUAGCGGUGAAAUGCGCAGAUAUCAGGAGGAACACCGGUGGCGAAGGCGGGUCUCUGGGCCGAUACUGACGCUGAGGAGCGAAAGCGUGGGGAGCGAACAGG
RNAcentral lists this ribosomal RNA (251 nucleotides) under uncultured bacterium. RNAcentral's name for it is "partial 16S ribosomal RNA". It matches the Rfam family "Bacterial small subunit ribosomal RNA", at positions 526 to 776 of the family's 1533-position model. The record is from RNAcentral.